GAUUUCAGAGGUAGCCCAGGUUUGAGGCCGAAUUCUUGGAAUUGGAAUGACAGGGCUGAAAAAAGCCUCAAAAUUAUGUUGCCAAAUAUAUUGGGUUGAUGCAAACAAGUGGCUGCUUUGAAUUUCGUUGUAUGAGUCUUUUUGUUCCACUUGAGUACAAUGGAAUUCUCAAGUCUUCUGAUGGACUUGCCCCAACACUUUUCCCACUUCAAUUCUAAAACCGGAUUCAAUCCUGGUUUUUCAUCCUAGUGUAAAGCCGCCCUUCGAGUGGUACCCCGAGCUGCCAUUCAUGGAUUUGAACUGGUGAGUUCAAAAUUCAGGAUGGCUCCAAGGAGCGAGUCUCCACCAACAUUUAAUGAUUGAAGUCGGGGAAUCCGCUCAAGCCAUAGGGCUUGUUUUCAAAGGGGGUUAGUAUAAAAUGCACUAAAAUAAAGCAUGCUCGAGGAAAAGUUCCAUCUUUGAAGUGCUUUUUUGGCUUUCGACGAAAGAUAGAGAGAGAGGUCGAUCACAUUGGGACCCCACUGUUUGAAUAACACCUUCCUCCAAGUGGGUCUUCAAGUGGAAUUUAAGUCAGAAAAUUGGUUCCAAACAGUACCCCUACGUCUUUACAAAGCAUUCCAAAAUCUUGCCAUGGCUAAAAGUCAACCCUUCCUCAAUAAAUAAUAACUAAGUCUCGACCAAAGAUGGUGAGCGGACCAUACGUUCAAAAUGGCACAACAUUGCCGUGCCACGAGUUUCGCGGAUUUUUUGGCCAUCCUCCAUUUGGCCCUCGUGAUCUCCUGAUCUCAGCCCUUUCGACCUCUUCUUUUGGGGCUACUUUAAGGUCCAAACCAACGUAAUUUCUCACUCCAACAUCGAGCCCUUCAAAUCUUCCAUCUCCAGGGAGUGUGCCAGUUUGCCCACAUCUCUCACUGAGAAGAGUUGCUCGCCAUUCCAGACUCGUGUGGAGGUCGUGAUCACUGCAAAUGGUGGACACAUUGAAUGAAAAUAAUCUAUCAUACUCCAAUAAAGUGUUCUUGUUCAGUGUUUUCUUUUUACUAAUUAAAAUUGAGAAAAUACAGUGUGGCCCAUUCAUAUCUGCGGCCAUUUUGAAGCUUCAUAAUUUGUGAACGAUUAGUAAUAGGUAAAAAUGGUAAUUUUAGUUAAGUAAAUUGUACAGUACGUCCAAAAAUUGAUGGUGGUAUUCAGGUUCAUAGGUUUUAUUGUUAAAAGUUAUGUAAACAGUAGGACUGCUAUGAACUUGGCUGAUGCAAUUUUUUGAAUGUUUGCUCCCUUUCUGAUGCAAUUUUUUUGGCAAUUGCAUCAUCCAAAAGUAUAUAAACCCUACGAUUGGAACUGUUCAAGGUCAGUUCUAAGCACCUUCUACCAUGGUGAAAGAGCACAACAUCGAGCUGUGGGGUUAGGCUUUCGGCAGAAUUCAAGCCGGAAUGACCCACAGGGCCGUCUCUGAGAGUCUGAAGAUCCCUUUGCGAACGGUGGAGAACUGGUGGAAGCAAGAAAGUGGAGGCGAAACCCUGCAAAACCAACCUGGCCUUGGAAGGUGGCCAACAACCUCCAGUGUUGCAAAGCUCGUCAUUGCCAAAUCUCUAACGAACAAGUGGCAAUCUACGCAAUAACUGGCAUGAAGGCUGACCGCUGAAGAAUACCUGGUGUCUUUGUCCUCUGCCCACAGAUAUUUGCGUGAAACUUUUGGACAUAAUGUAUUCCUUUCGAGUGUACAGGGCCGAUCAGGUAAAUUUGCAUCAUUUUCAACAACACACAAAUCGACGUAAUGAGGAGGUCUUCCAUCCUUAAAUUCCAGGUAUUUCAAGACGCCUACCUGCCCUUUUCGUCGAUUUGUGUAUUGUUGAAAAUGGUGUAAAUUUACCUGAUCGGCCGUGAAGAUAUCCCAAAUGACGUCUCCACCUUAAUUUUUCUUCACAACAUCAUAGGAAGAGCAUUCAAGUCUUGCUAUGAAGACACGUUGAAAAGGAAAAUUUCCUUACCUCCACUGGGAAUGGAAUUACCAGCACUUCAAGACAAAACUUAUUCUCUUACUUCACUAUAUUGGUGUGUUCUGGGUAAACACAUGCUUGUGCUCAUGUUAUAUUAUUCUAGUCAUGCAUAUAACCUGUACUAAUCAGAACAAUAAAGUCAGUUACAAAGUCA
Long non-coding RNA from Tigriopus californicus, 2148 nucleotides. RefSeq lists it as uncharacterized. The record is from RefSeq and is a predicted model, not a curated record. The transcript is spliced from 2 exons. Lineage: Eukaryota; Metazoa; Arthropoda; Copepoda; Harpacticoida; Harpacticidae.